This 658-nucleotide long non-coding RNA is filed under the name Nicotiana tabacum (common tobacco). Its description in RNAcentral is "long non-coding RNA (NTAB_LNC000843)". The record is from RNAcentral. Lineage: Eukaryota; Viridiplantae; Streptophyta; Magnoliopsida; Solanales; Solanaceae.
UCGUUGCACAUAUAGAACUAAUAGGAUGGAUAAACUCUGUGACACUGCUAAAGGAGAGUUACCGUUUCAGGUCUCUCCUCUUUAUUUGGUGGUUUUUCAGUUUUAUCUUCAACAACUAGUUCUUCAUCUGUCUGUUCAAUCGUUAGUUCUUCAGGUUUCUCUUCAAGCGCUAGUUCUUCAGCUGUUUCCUCCCCUACUAGCACUUGUUUUUCUUUAGUUGCUGGUUCUUCAGGUUUCUCUUCAGCUGUUGGUUCUUCAGGUUUCUCCUCAACUGGUUCUUCAGAUUUCUCUUCAACUGUUGGUUCUUCAGGUUUCUCUUCAAGAACUGGUUUUUCAGUUUUUUCUUUUACUGCAGGUUCUUCAGGGUUUUCCUCAACUUCUGAAAAGUGAGCAGCAUUAUUGUUUGUAAUGCUUGGAGUUUUACUUUCAGUUUUGUCGUUCGGGACUACAACUGGAAUACUCUGCAAGAAGAACUUUAAAGUCUUACUUAGUCUUUCAGUAGGUAAGCAUAUGUAAAUUGUAUCGUAUACACGACUAACAAGAUGGAUAAACUUUGUGACAAUGCUUGAUCCUCACCUUUUCCAGGAGAGUUAUCCUUUCAUGUUUCUCCUCUUCAAUUGUUUGUUCUUCAGGUUUCUCCUCAAUUAUUGGUUCUUCA